UACGUAGGUGGCAAGCGUUGUUCGGAAUUACUGGGCGUAAAGGGCGCGUAGGCGGCCCUCUAAGUCAGACGUGAAAUCCCACGGCUCAACCGUGGAACUGCGUCUGAUACUGGAGGGCUUGAAUCCGGGAGAGGGAUGUGGAAUUCCAGGUGUAGCGGUGAAAUGCGUAGAUAUCUGGAGGAACACCGGUGGCGAAGGCGGCAUCCUGGACCGGUAUUGACGCUGAGGCGCGAAAGCUAGGGGAGCAAACGGG
This 253-nucleotide ribosomal RNA is filed under the name uncultured bacterium. Its description in RNAcentral is "partial 16S ribosomal RNA". It matches the Rfam family "Bacterial small subunit ribosomal RNA", at positions 524 to 776 of the family's 1533-position model. The record is from RNAcentral.